RNAcentral lists this non-coding RNA (29 nucleotides) under Mus musculus (house mouse). Lineage: Eukaryota; Metazoa; Chordata; Mammalia; Rodentia; Muridae. The record is from RNAcentral.
UGGGUUAAAGGCGUGCACCACCACAGCCC